CGGAGGUGCGAGCGUUAAUCGGAAUUACUGGGCGUAAAGGGUGCGUAGGUGGUUGAGUAAGUUAUCUGUGAAAGCCCAGGGGCUUAAACCUUGGGAGGGUCAGAUAAGACUAUUUAGCUAGAGUAUGAGAGAGGGUAGUGGAAUUUCCGGUGUAGCGGUGAAAUGCGUAGAGAUCGGAAGGAACACCAGUGGCGAAGGCGGCUACCUGGCUUAAUACUGACACUGAGGCACGAAAGCGUGGGGAGCAAACAGGAUU
Molecule: ribosomal RNA, 256 nt
Filed under: uncultured bacterium
Lineage: Bacteria
Description: partial 16S ribosomal RNA
Rfam family: Bacterial small subunit ribosomal RNA
Source: RNAcentral